GUAUGUAAGGGCUAUCUGGCUGUGACAUCUGUCACCCCAUUGAUCUCCAGGGUUGAUUCGCCUAAUCUGGCUUGCUAGGCCGGUGUCCCCUUUCUCCCACAGUGAUCCAAGUGCAUCUCACCCGAAGCUAUGUGCUGGCUCGAAGAGGACUACCACCUCCAAUAGAGGAGGGUCAUUUCUUGGUCAAGGGUAUAUGAGUAGCUGUGCUCCACUACUAGAAUCUCCAAACAAGCUCUCAACUGUGACUUAUGGAAGACCCACAGCACAAUGGUGGACAAAUUUGGAGUUUCUGUUGAUGAUAUGAAUAAUUAUUACUGAAAUUAUUU
This is a non-coding RNA of Cavia porcellus (domestic guinea pig), 326 nucleotides long. The record is from Rfam. Lineage: Eukaryota; Metazoa; Chordata; Mammalia; Rodentia; Caviidae.